Molecule: ribosomal RNA, 254 nt
Filed under: uncultured bacterium
Lineage: Bacteria
Description: partial 16S ribosomal RNA
Rfam family: Bacterial small subunit ribosomal RNA
Source: RNAcentral
UACGUAGGGGGCUAGCGUUGGUCCGGAAUCAUUGGGCGUAAAGCGCGUGUAGGCGGUCCGGUAAGUCCGCUGUGAAAGUCGAGGGCUCAACCCUCGAAUGCCGGUGGAUACUGUCGGGCUUGAGUACGGGAGAGGCGAGUGGAAUUCCUGGUGUAGCGGUGAAAUGCGCAGAUAUCAGGAGGAACACCGAUUGCGAAGGCAGCUCGCUGGAACGUUACUGACGCUGAGACGCGAAAGCGUGGGGAGCAAACAGG